AAUAUUGCGCAAUGGAGGGAACUCUGACGCAGCGACGCCGAGUGAGCGAUGAAGGUUCUCGGAUCGUAAAGCCCUGUCCUUGGGGAGGAAGGCGGGCAUGCAUGGUCACAUGAAGGUUCCCAACGAGGAAGCCCGCGCUAACUAUGUGCAGGCAGCCGCGGUAAUACGUAGGGGGCAAGCGUUGUCCGGAAUUAUUGGGCGUAAAGGGUGCGUAGGCGGCCUUUUAAGUCAGAUGUGAAAGACCACGGCUUAACUGUGGGGUUGCAUUUGAAACUGGAGGGCUUGAGUAUCGGAGAGGGUAGUGGAAUUCCCAGUGUAGCGGUGGAAUGCGUAGAUAUUGGGAGGAACACCAGUGGCGAAGGCGACUACCUGGACGAAAACUGACGCUGAGGCACGAAAGCUAGGGGAGCAAACA
RNAcentral lists this ribosomal RNA (415 nucleotides) under uncultured bacterium. Its description in RNAcentral is "partial 16S ribosomal RNA". It matches the Rfam family "Bacterial small subunit ribosomal RNA", at positions 360 to 774 of the family's 1533-position model. The record is from RNAcentral.